CUUCACCGAACCGAGCCACAACGGCGUCUCCCGGUCCCGACCGUAGGUCGCCAGCAGCGCCUGCGCCUC
This 69-nucleotide antisense RNA is filed under the name Actinophytocola xinjiangensis. Its description in RNAcentral is "Actinophytocola sp. QAIII60 ASpks TB sRNA". It matches the Rfam family "ASpks TB sRNA". Lineage: Bacteria; Bacillati; Actinomycetota; Actinomycetes; Pseudonocardiales; Pseudonocardiaceae. The record is from Rfam by way of RNAcentral.